CGGGGGUGCUGAGAGUCACUGUGGAAUGUCAAGAAGAGGAACUCAGACACUGACUGUGCAUCCAUUGAGACAGAAAAGACAGAGAAGACUCCCAUAAUCAUCAUUUUAAAAAGCAGGAUAGCAAGGCAUCUGAAGGCAGUCUGGCUGUGACAUCUGCGUUUCUGUUAAUGUGACAGACUUGGCAAGCAUGCCUGGGCUCCUCACCACUCCUCUUCAAGCUGGGCGCUCAAAGA
Cervus elaphus (red deer) is the source of this 233-nucleotide long non-coding RNA. RefSeq lists it as uncharacterized. Lineage: Eukaryota; Metazoa; Chordata; Mammalia; Artiodactyla; Cervidae. The record is from RefSeq and is a predicted model, not a curated record. The transcript has 3 exons.